RNAcentral lists this non-coding RNA (27 nucleotides) under Mus musculus (house mouse). The record is from RNAcentral. Lineage: Eukaryota; Metazoa; Chordata; Mammalia; Rodentia; Muridae.
UGUGAGCUCCGGGUGUCUGGAACCCAC